UGCUGGUCCCCCCGCAAUGAUAGAUUGUGAAUCCCGCCAGGCCCGGAAGGGAGCAACGGUAGCAGUUGAUUCGUGUGCCGGGGUGUGGCUAGCAGAG
RNAcentral lists this signal recognition particle RNA (97 nucleotides) under Kangiella sp. HZ709. RNAcentral describes it as "Bacterial small signal recognition particle RNA". It matches the Rfam family "Bacterial small signal recognition particle RNA". From Rfam's summary of the family: The signal recognition particle (SRP) is a universally conserved ribonucleoprotein involved in the co-translational targeting of proteins to membranes. Archaeal SRP consists of a 7S RNA and homologues of the eukaryotic SRP19 and SRP54 proteins. The record is from Rfam by way of RNAcentral. Lineage: Bacteria; Pseudomonadati; Pseudomonadota; Gammaproteobacteria; Kangiellales; Kangiellaceae.